This 1540-nucleotide ribosomal RNA is filed under the name Klebsiella variicola. Its description in RNAcentral is "bacterial SSU rRNA". It matches the Rfam family "Bacterial small subunit ribosomal RNA". The record is from RNAcentral. RNAcentral also lists the same sequence under 1 other name. Lineage: Bacteria; Pseudomonadati; Pseudomonadota; Gammaproteobacteria; Enterobacterales; Enterobacteriaceae.
AAAUUGAAGAGUUUGAUCAUGGCUCAGAUUGAACGCUGGCGGCAGGCCUAACACAUGCAAGUCGAGCGGUAGCACAGAGAGCUUGCUCUCGGGUGACGAGCGGCGGACGGGUGAGUAAUGUCUGGGAAACUGCCUGAUGGAGGGGGAUAACUACUGGAAACGGUAGCUAAUACCGCAUAACGUCGCAAGACCAAAGUGGGGGACCUUCGGGCCUCAUGCCAUCAGAUGUGCCCAGAUGGGAUUAGCUUGUAGGUGAGGUAACGGCUCACCUAGGCGACGAUCCCUAGCUGGUCUGAGAGGAUGACCAGCCACACUGGAACUGAGACACGGUCCAGACUCCUACGGGAGGCAGCAGUGGGGAAUAUUGCACAAUGGGCGCAAGCCUGAUGCAGCCAUGCCGCGUGUGUGAAGAAGGCCUUCGGGUUGUAAAGCACUUUCAGCGGGGAGGAAGGCGGUGAGGUUAAUAACCUCAUCGAUUGACGUUACCCGCAGAAGAAGCACCGGCUAACUCCGUGCCAGCAGCCGCGGUAAUACGGAGGGUGCAAGCGUUAAUCGGAAUUACUGGGCGUAAAGCGCACGCAGGCGGUCUGUCAAGUCGGAUGUGAAAUCCCCGGGCUCAACCUGGGAACUGCAUUCGAAACUGGCAGGCUAGAGUCUUGUAGAGGGGGGUAGAAUUCCAGGUGUAGCGGUGAAAUGCGUAGAGAUCUGGAGGAAUACCGGUGGCGAAGGCGGCCCCCUGGACAAAGACUGACGCUCAGGUGCGAAAGCGUGGGGAGCAAACAGGAUUAGAUACCCUGGUAGUCCACGCUGUAAACGAUGUCGAUUUGGAGGUUGUGCCCUUGAGGCGUGGCUUCCGGAGCUAACGCGUUAAAUCGACCGCCUGGGGAGUACGGCCGCAAGGUUAAAACUCAAAUGAAUUGACGGGGGCCCGCACAAGCGGUGGAGCAUGUGGUUUAAUUCGAUGCAACGCGAAGAACCUUACCUGGUCUUGACAUCCACAGAACUUUCCAGAGAUGGAUUGGUGCCUUCGGGAACUGUGAGACAGGUGCUGCAUGGCUGUCGUCAGCUCGUGUUGUGAAAUGUUGGGUUAAGUCCCGCAACGAGCGCAACCCUUAUCCUUUGUUGCCAGCGGUUAGGCCGGGAACUCAAAGGAGACUGCCAGUGAUAAACUGGAGGAAGGUGGGGAUGACGUCAAGUCAUCAUGGCCCUUACGACCAGGGCUACACACGUGCUACAAUGGCAUAUACAAAGAGAAGCGACCUCGCGAGAGCAAGCGGACCUCAUAAAGUAUGUCGUAGUCCGGAUUGGAGUCUGCAACUCGACUCCAUGAAGUCGGAAUCGCUAGUAAUCGUAGAUCAGAAUGCUACGGUGAAUACGUUCCCGGGCCUUGUACACACCGCCCGUCACACCAUGGGAGUGGGUUGCAAAAGAAGUAGGUAGCUUAACCUUCGGGAGGGCGCUUACCACUUUGUGAUUCAUGACUGGGGUGAAGUCGUAACAAGGUAACCGUAGGGGAACCUGCGGUUGGAUCACCUCCUUA